GAGGAAUAUUGGUCAAUGGGCGCAAGCCUGAACCAGCCAUGUCGCGUGCAGGACGACUGCCCUAUGGGUUGUAAACUGCUUUUGUAUGGGAAGAAACGACGGCACGAGUGCUGUUUUGCCGGUACCAUACGAAUAAGGAUCGGCUAACUCCGUGCCAGCAGCCGCGGUAAUACGGAGGAUCCGAGCGUUAUCCGGAUUUAUUGGGUUUAAAGGGUGCGUAGGCGGGAUAUUAAGUCAGUGGUGAAAGUUUGACGCUCAACGUUAAAAUUGCCAUUGAUACUGGUUUUCUUGAGUACAGUUGAGGUAGGCGGAAUGUGGUGUGUAGCGGUGAAAUGCAUAGAUAUACCACAGAACACCGAUUGCGAAGGCAGCUUACUAAGUUGUAACUGACGCUGAAGCACGAAAGCAUGGGGAUCAAAC
This 420-nucleotide ribosomal RNA is filed under the name uncultured bacterium. RNAcentral describes it as "bacterial SSU rRNA". It matches the Rfam family "Bacterial small subunit ribosomal RNA", at positions 356 to 773 of the family's 1533-position model. The record is from RNAcentral.